UUAGGAUCGUAAAACUCUGUUGUUAGGGAAGAACAAAUUUGUUAGUAACUGAACAAGUCUUGACGGUACCUAACCAGAAAGCCACGGCUAACUACGUGCCAGCAGCCGCGGUAAUACGUAGGUGGCAAGCGUUAUCCGGAAUUAUUGGGCGUAAAGCGCGCGUAGGCGGUUUCUUAAGUCUGAUGUGAAAGCCCACGGCUCAACCGUGGAGGGUCAUUGGAAACUGGGGAACUUGAGUGCAGAAGAGGAGAGUGGAAUUCCAUGUGUAGCGGUGAAAUGCGCAGAGAUAUGGAGGAACACCAGUGGCGAAGGCGGCUCUCUGGUCUGUAACUGACGCUGAUGUGCGAAAGCGUGGGGAUCAAACAGGAUUAGAUACCCUGGUAGUCCACGCCGUAAACGAUGAGUGCUAAGUGUUAGGGGGUUUCCGCCCCUUAGUGCUGCAGCUAACGCAUUAAGCACUCCGCCU
RNAcentral lists this ribosomal RNA (466 nucleotides) under Mammaliicoccus lentus. Its description in RNAcentral is "bacterial SSU rRNA". It matches the Rfam family "Bacterial small subunit ribosomal RNA", at positions 417 to 874 of the family's 1533-position model. The record is from RNAcentral. Lineage: Bacteria; Bacillati; Bacillota; Bacilli; Caryophanales; Staphylococcaceae.